Molecule: ribosomal RNA, 344 nt
Filed under: uncultured eukaryote
Lineage: Eukaryota
Description: partial 18S ribosomal RNA
Rfam family: Eukaryotic small subunit ribosomal RNA
Source: RNAcentral
UACUAGCAUAUGUUAACGUUGCUGCAGUUAAAACGCUCGUAGUUGGGGUUUGGGGCUGAACGGAACGAUUUCGAAAGAAAUUGCGAAGGACGGCCUUUUGUGUGGUACAACUUGUUAAUUCAAGUUGCGCCGGUAAACCUUGAAAAAAUAUUAACGCUCAAACUUGGACUUUGGUUCCAGUUCUUUCUGCAUGGGAUUUUAGAAUACGUGCUGGCUCCACAAAAGCUGGCAAAUGACCUUUGAGGAUGAUAGUGGCAGUUCAUAUUGAGAUGUCAGAGGUGAAAUUCUUGGAUUAUCUUAAGAUGGACUGAUGCGAAAGCGUUCUGCAAUAGCUUUCCUGUCAA